CUUGGUCAUUUAGAGGAAGUAAAAGUCGUAACAAGGUUUCCGUAGGUGAACCUGCGGAAGGAUCAUUAACAAAUCUACUGUGCCGCCGCAAGGCGUGCAUAUUGGCCCCGAGUCCAGGCUUUGGUUUGGACUCUGGUUUCGGACAUGAUGGAUGGUCCAGGCUGGUUAGCGCCUGUCUGGCUGUCCGUCGUCCACAUAGACGCUUGUAUGUUUGACAGAGUUACGGUUGUAAGCACAAAAAGACAACUUUUAACAAUGGAUCUCUUGGCUCUUGCAACGAUGAAGAACGCAGUGAAAUGCGAAAAGUAAUGCGAUUUGCAUGAAUCUGUGAGUCAUCAAGUCUUUGAACGCACCUUGCACCGUAUGAGCAAUUGUACGGUAUACCUGUUUGAGAAUCGUAAAAACCCCUUCACUCUCCCCUUGUGGGCACGGAGUGAGACUUGUUGGCUGAGCCGGUGGCGGUGCAUGCUGCCGCUGGCUCUCUGACUAAAGGCAUUAGGUCUGGAUCGGGCUGGUGGCCCGGGACAUUGUGUGCUAGAGACGUUCGCCGCGAGGCAGGCUGUCUUCUCACAGUGCGUCCUGGGUCCUUGCAAGCUGGCCCGGUGAGGACCUUUUGGUGGUGCGCUUCGCGGCGUCCACAACCCCCCUUUUUGAUCUCAAAUCAGGUAAGGCUACCCGCUGAACUUAAGCAUAUCAAUAAGCGGAGGA
This 708-nucleotide ribosomal RNA is filed under the name uncultured fungus. RNAcentral describes it as "eukaryotic LSU rRNA". The stretch from base 245 to 398 matches the Rfam family "5.8S ribosomal RNA". The record is from RNAcentral. Lineage: Eukaryota; Fungi.